GAUGAACGCUAGCUACAGGCUUAACACAUGCAAGUCGAGGGGCAGCAUGAAGUUUGCUUGCAAACUUUGAUGGCGACCGGCGCACGGGUGAGUAACGCGUGGAGAACCUGCCUCGUACUGGGGGAUAACAGUUGGAAACGACUGAUAAUACCGCAUAAGCCCACGAGACCGCAUGGUCAUGAGGGAAAAGAUUUAUCGGUACGAGAUGGAUCCGCGUCUGAUUAGCCAGUUGGCGGGGUAACGGCCCACCAAAGCGACGAUCAGUAGCCGGCCUGAGAGGGCGGACGGCCACAUUGGGACUGAGACACGGCCCAAACUCC
This 320-nucleotide ribosomal RNA is filed under the name uncultured Butyrivibrio sp. RNAcentral's name for it is "bacterial SSU rRNA". It matches the Rfam family "Bacterial small subunit ribosomal RNA", at positions 28 to 339 of the family's 1533-position model. Lineage: Bacteria; Bacillati; Bacillota; Clostridia; Lachnospirales; Lachnospiraceae. The record is from RNAcentral.